CGUCAAUUGGGAGGGGGGAAGUCUGGUGCCAGCAGCCGCGGUAAUUCCAGCUCCAAUAGCGUAUAUUAAAGUUGUUGCAGUUAAAAAGCUCGUAGUUGAACCUUGGGUCUGGCUGGCCGGUCCGCCUCACCGCGAGUACUGGUCCGGCUGGACCUUUCCUUCUGGGGAACCUCAUGGCCUUCACUGGCUGUGGGGGGAACCAGGACUUUUACUGUGAAAAAAUUAGAGUGUUCAAAGCAGGCCUUUGCUCGAAUACAUUAGCAUGGAAUAAUAGAAUAGGACGUGCGGUUCUAUUUUGUUGGUUUCUAGGACCGCCGUAAUGAUUAAUAGGGAUAGUCGGGGGCGUCAGUAUUCAGCUGUCAGAGGUGAAAUUCUUGGAUUUGCUGAAGACUAACUACUGCGAAAGCAUUCGCCAUGGAUGUUUUCAUUAAUCAGGGAACGAAAGUUAUAGGAUCGAAGACGGAUCAGUUUCUACUCUUUUACUAUGG
RNAcentral lists this ribosomal RNA (488 nucleotides) under uncultured Aspergillus. Its description in RNAcentral is "SSU rRNA". It matches the Rfam family "Eukaryotic small subunit ribosomal RNA", at positions 539 to 1029 of the family's 1831-position model. The record is from RNAcentral. Lineage: Eukaryota; Fungi; Ascomycota; Eurotiomycetes; Eurotiales; Aspergillaceae.